This 14818-nucleotide long non-coding RNA is filed under the name Homo sapiens (human). Its description in RNAcentral is "HSALNT0304028". The record is from RNAcentral. Lineage: Eukaryota; Metazoa; Chordata; Mammalia; Primates; Hominidae.
CUUGAGCAUGACUAGCACUGAACUACCUAAUUUCUGACUGUUACAAAUUAAUCAAGUCACAGCACAUUUGCGAUUCAUAUCAGCUACCUAGGGCGUUUCUGUAGACAGCUAACCCAUUUGGGAAGCAGUCAGCUAAUACUAUCUGGAUGUCAGAUGCAUCUCAUGUUUUGGCAGCUCUUUAUAGUCUUUCAAGGGGAUUGUGUUGACAGGCACUUGCCCUUCAACUUGCUGCUCUGUUUGGCAGCGGCUCUGUUUUCAGUCUUGCCUUCAUUGCACUUGAGGAUUUUCCACAGCCAUGUAUGGGGAUGUUCUCAUGUAAGAGGGUCAGACGGGCAAAAAUCUGGGAAGAAGGGAUUCCAAGCGACAGGGACGGGGUUUCACUGUGUUGGCCAGGAUGGUCUCGAUCUCUUGACCGUGUGAUCUGCCUGCUUCGGCCUCCCAAAGUGCUGGUAUUACAGGCGUGAGCCACUGCGCCCAGUCAAAGAUGUUCUCUUUUAAGAUUACUUUUUAAAAAGACUCACACGGUACCUUCCCACAAGAAGACAUGGAGACUAUGUGACGUAGCCUGUGGGUCCCUGGACACCGGGACUAGAGGACCCUUCCCAAGAGCAGACCGCAGGCAAGAUACCAUUCAUUGGCCUCGCUGCCUGUGCCCGCGGAUUCCGCACGUGGCCACACCUCUUCUAUACAAGGCAAGGUGGCGUGCCUACAUCCAUGCCAUCCUGUUGUUAUCCAUGGAUGAACAACUCAGAAUUUGGAGAAAUGGAUUUGGGGAAAUCUCUGAGACACAUUUUGAAACCAGCGAGGAAUUAGGCUGCAAGCGGCAGCAGCAGUAACAGUGACAGCAGCAAGAAACAGCCACCUGCAUCUCAAGAGUGGCACAGGGCUUCCACUGGCUGAGGCGGACACAUGGCGGAUGUGUAAGAAGCGUGCAGAAAGUGGUCAGUCGUGUGUGCACACACGAAUACAUGCUCAGUGUCAGGCCAAGGCCCUGUGGGCCUAAGGAAAACAAUGUCACGUUUCAACAUGAUUUGGGAAACCCUACUCUCCACUGAAAUCUCAUAUUGGCAGCAGAAAACUCUGCCGAUGCCUCAGAAGCCAAAGAUAACUAAAUUGUGUUUCUUUUAGUUCUUGCAUAGGGGCAAGCCCACUUCACAUUUCAUGAUACACCAACUCCUAGAGAGCUCCUUUGGGGCCCUAUUUAAUUUACUUAACUUUUGUUGGCAAUGGAAAGUGGGCCUGCCACAUUUGAUGACUAGAGCAGGUCCAUCCCAGUCACCUGCCUUCCCAAAAGUGCAUUGGAGAGUGGAACAGAAACCACAACCCACUGUCUCGGACAGGCGUCAGCAUUGUAAAAUACACUCUGGCACCCAGCCCUGGCAGAAUAGUGGUCUACAGAGGCAAAACUUCAGAUUUUUACUAUACCCAAGGCAUAAUGAACUUUAUCGAGGGUAAAUAUUGCCCAGCCUUCUUUCAUGUAGGAACCAAGAAAACUAGACCCAACAGUUUUGCCUUUCCUUCCUUCUCUGUACAUGUUCUUCCUAGUUGUACUGGAUUUUGCUAAUAUCAUAAGCACAGCUGUGAUACAGCCAGGUCUUUAUGCAUGGAUUUUACUCUUUGAGCAGCUUGAAGACAAUUCUGUCUCGCUCUCUCUGGGUUCUCACGAGCACAGAGCUGUAACCAUAAUAAGCUCUCAAUAAAGGUUGAAUAGAGGCCACAGAGAUCUUCAGGCCAGAAGUCAGAGGUCAUUCCUUGAGGACGUGUUAGUGACAGUGUCCUGUACAGUGGCUAGGCAGAGAAAGACUGCUGAGAACAGACAGACCUGGCUUUCAUUAGUUAAGAGAUGGACAGAGGAAGGAGCUCCAUCCACUCACAAAGACAGUGGCCUCCAUAUCCCGAGAGGGGAGUCAGGAGCAUGACAUGUUCUACACAACUACAGUCUUCAUCAUAAUCCCAAAGGCAGCCAUAACCAUGGGUAAUUGGGAUAAUAUUUAGAAAAUAUUUGCAUGCCAAAACUGACAUUUUUAGAGGCCAUGGAGAAACAGGUUUCCAAUGUCAAGUUUUGUUGAAAGAGGACACACAUUAUUCUAGAUUCUGAAAGUUCCCUUCAUCUUCAAAGAGCUAGGCCUUGCCAGUGUGACUGUGGAGCUUGCUAUAAGCCUGAAUAAAGAGAAGACAGAGGACAUCAAGUUAGGGAAACCCCACCCAACAGGAAGGAGACACUCUUCUGGCCAAGAGGCAAGUUGGGGAGGGAGGGAUGCAGAGAGAAGAGAAGAUGAGAGAAGUUAAGGCUGAGCUAGUAUCUGAGAAUACCUCACAUGUGCCCCACAGCCUGCCUCUUCCUCUGCUACACUGUGGCCAGAAAGGGGUCUCAGUGUUCUACGUGCCCCCAGAGGGUGUAGCUGCGAGCCAGACUGCUGAGAGGUCACCUUUGCAGAGCCUAGAGACAGAUGACAGACAAAGCUGAGAUUUAGAGAUCUUUGGGGCCAGGAAGAUCUGAGCAGUGGAGGUCCCAAAGCACCAGCAGAGACAGCUAGACCUAGUGGCCCCAGAAUUGGAUGCUCAAAGACAUGAUCAGGCCAGGCCCAGCUCAAUCAGCACCUGCUAUGUCUCAAAGGCAGGAUGAGUUCAGAGGCACCACUCCACACUGUGAGAAUCCAUAAUUGUUUCCCUCUUCCAGCUGCCAACCUGGGACAUAGAGAGUGAAGAGACAUCCUUUGAGAAGGAAAUCUUAAUUUUUAUUUAACUGUGUAUUUACCCAAAAGAAAGUGAGUUAGACCAAAAGAGUCUAAGUUGCUUUCAAUGGGCAAGUUUAAGGUUCUCCCUCCUUCCUCUGCCAUCAACAGGAAAUGAUGAGAUCCAUAUAGAGAAUAUUUAAAAGGAAAUAAAUUAUCAUUUUCUGCCCCUCUGAGUUGCAGGGUGUAAAUUCUUCCUCUGCUAGAAGCGUGUGCAAUGUGGGAAGCCCAGCACACAGAAAGAGCUUAAUUCAUGCUGCUGAUUUAAUAGAUUUUUUUUCAUGGAUGUGCCAGAAAGCCCCAUUCAUGUAAACACUACAAUUGCAAAAGUUUAUGCCAGACAGAAGCCUGCAUUUGUUGGGGAUUAAAAGAAAGGGCACUUGACUUUGUAGCCCAAAGACCCAGGUUUUCCAGGUGCAGUCCUGGCAUUGAGUUGUCAUGUCAUCCCAGGCAAAUCAUGGACUUGUUCUGGGCCUCUGUUUCUUUCUUCAACAUGAAGGAAUUUGUUAAAGAAAUUUCUAAAAUUCUUCUGUUAAUGAGUAAUGACGAUAAUAUCAGUAGUCACAAGCAUUUACUGAGCACUGACUAGCUGCCAACCACUGUGUUGUUUGCUUUGUUUAUAUAACCCCAUUCACUUUUAAAAUCAUCUUAUGAGGGAAAGAAACCAUUAUCACCCACAUAAGGUAUGACUGCUUAUAUAGAAAAUGCCCAAAAUCCAUAAACAAAUGAUUAAGAACAAUUAAAUUUAGUGAAGAUAUAAAAUUUACAUACAUCAAACAGCUAGAAAGUUUAAUUAAAAGACAAUAUUUUUUUUUUUUAAUUCUGAGAUAGAGUCUCACUCUGUCACCCAGGCUGGAGUGCAGUGGCGCUAUCUCAGCUCACUGCAACCUCCUCUGCCUUCCGGGUUCAAGCAAUUCUCGUGCCUCAGCCCCCUGAGUAGCUAGGAUUACAGGUGUAAACCACCACACAUGGCUAAUUUUUGUAUUUUUUUUUUUUUUUUAGUAGGGACGGGGUUUCACCAUGUUGGCCAGGCUGGUCUAGAACUCCUGAUCUCAAGUGAUCCGCCCACCUCAGCCUCCCAAGGUGCUGGGAUUACAGGCAUGAGCCACUGUGCCCAGGCUAAAAGACAAUAUUCUUUACAACAGCAUCAGAAAACAUCAGGUAUCUAGUGGGGCACAGUGGCAUGUGCCUAUAGUCCCAGCUACUCAGGAGGGUGAGGUAGGAGGAUCACUUGGACCUAGGAGUUCGAAGCUGUGGUGAGCUAUGAUCGUACCACUGCACUCCAGCCCGGAUGACAAAAUAAGACCCUUCCUCAAAAAAAAAAAAAAAAAUUAAAAUAUCAAGUCUCCUAGAAUAAACCUAACAAUGGACACAUUUUCAAGACCUCUAGAAGGAAAAGUGUAAAACUUUAAGAGAUAUUAAAAAGGGCUAAGUAAUUGGAGAGAGAUAUUGUGUUCAUGGAUUAUAUAAUUUAAUAGUGUAAUUUGAUCUAUAUAUUCAGUGCAAUUCUUGUCAAAUUCCUAAUAAUUUUUUUAAAAAUAGAACCUGAAAAAAUGAUUCUAAACUUAUGUGAAAGCAUAAAAGACCAAAAAUAGGAUGUUUCUGAAAAGGUAGUGAUCAGGGGUUUCCCUUAUUGAUGUCUGGACUUUUAUGAGGCUGGAGCAAUUAAAACCCUGUAGUUUUGGUGCAGAGACAGAAAAACAGACCAUGGGGUAUGAAUAAGAUCCCAGAAAAAGAUGGAUGCAAAUAAAGAAUGUUGGUUUAUUACAGAGGAUACAGGAGGUCAGUGAGGAGAGGAGGCUGAUAAACAAAUGGAGGUGGAAAAAAGUAGUUAUUCAUAUGGGAAAAAAUGAACUUGAAUAUCUCUCUCAAACUAUAUCCGAAAAAUAACCCUAGAUAGAUUCAGGAAUUAAAUGUCAAAAAAGAAACUUUAUAAUUUAUAGUAAAAUACAGGUAACUAUUUUAUACCUUGGAGUAGUGAUAUGGUUUGGCUCUGUGUCCCCACCCAAAUCUCAUUUUGAAUUGUAAUUCCAAAUGUUGGAGGUGAGGCCUGGUGGGAGGUGCUUGGAUCAUAGAGGUGGUUUCUAGUGGUUUGGCACCAUCCCCCUAGUUCUGUAUUUAAAGUGUGUAGUACCAUCCCCUUCUCUCUCUGUCCUACUGGCCAUAUGCAGAUAUUCCUGCUUCCCCUUCACCUUCCACCAUAAUUGUGUUUCCUGAGGCCUUCCCAACCAUGUUUCCUGUACAGCCUGCAGAACUGUGAGUCAUUUAACCUCUUUUCUUUAUAAAUUACCCAUUCUCAGGGAGUUCUUUAUAGCAAUGCAAGAAUGGACUAAUACACGCAGCUAAAGUUUUUCUUAAGCACUUAAAUUGUUGACUAUAAAAUGAUAAAUUUAACUAUGUCAAAAUAAAGAACAUUUGUUCACCAAGAGAUACCUUUAAAAAGUAAAAAGACAAAGUAAAAACUGGGACAAGAUAUUCAUAAUAUCAACCACAAAGGUUUAGUACCAAGAAUAUAUGUAGAACUGCUACAAAUCAAUUUUGUUAACAAAGCACAAAUAACCAGUAUAAUAAUGGGGAAAAAAAGCACCAAUGGCAUUUCACAGAAGAGGAAACAUAUAUGCCCAAUAAACUUAUGAAAAGAUUCAAAAAGAAAAGUGAAAAAAAUUAUGAAUACCUAGUAUAUGAUAGCACAAAAGGGUGACUAUAGUCAAAAUAAUUUAACUGUACAUUUAAAAAUACCUAAAAGAGUAUAAUUGGAUUGUUUAUAACACAAAACAUAAAUGCUUGAGGGGAUGGAUACCCCAUUUCCCAUGAUGUGAUUAUUAUGCAUUGUGUGCCUAUAUCAAAACAUCUCAUGUACCCCAUAAAUAUAUGUACCUAUUAUGUACCCACAAAAACUAAAAAUAAAAAAAUUUGUUAAAGAAAAAAAGUGAAAAUUAAAAUCACAAUGAAAUAACAUGUUAUACUCAUUCAAUUAGCAAAAAGUAAAAAGCCUAACACAAUUAAGUGCUGGAGAGGAUGAAGCCUGUGGCAUUGUAGAUUAGCACAGAGUCUUUAGAGAAUGUUUUGGCAUUGUCUCCUAAAGUUGAACUUUCACAUGUUCUCUGACAUGAUUCUCCUUGAAGGUCCAUACCCAAGAGAAACUCUUAUACUUGUACAAAGGCUGACAUGUACCAGUAGGACUAUAACAGCCCUGUUCUAACUAGCAAAAGUCUGGACCCUCUCCUUUCCCAAGUACCCCUCAAUGGGAGUAUGGAUGAUUACACUAUGGUUUAUUUGUAUACACUACUAUGCAGCAGUCAGAACAAAGAAAUUACAAUGACACACAAUACUGUGAAUGACUCUUAGCAAUAUAACAUUAAAUGGAAAAAAGUAAGUCCCUAAAAGUUUUAUAAAGUUAAAAAACAAUUAAGAUAAAAAUAUACCUACUUUCUAGAAAUACAUAUGGAAGCAUAAAACCAAAUAAAAUGGGAAGCAGGGGUAUCAGGAACACAAGAUUCAUGAUGGUGUAGACCUUAGAAGUGGGGAGAAGAGGUUAAUAAGAUACUGGGGACUAGCUGAUAAGAUGUAGGUUAUUGUCCUAGACUUAGCUUUUGUUUGGUGGUAGAUUCAUGGGUGCUCAUUACAAUAUUGGAAAUAACUAGUUACAUAACUAAAUAAAUGACAAAGUCAUGGAUGGAUCCGUGGUGGAAAGUACUGUGAACAAGGAUCAAGAUUCAUCUAAUUUUUGAGCUCCAAGGAAUUGGGGUUGUGGGGAUCCUAUGUCCUAUGGAAUAAAUGCUGUUAUUAUCAGCAUGUUACAGGCAAGGGAACUGAGGAUCAGGUUGGUGGAGCAACUUGCCCCAGGCCACACAGCUGGUGAAUAGCAGAGCUGGGCAUUGAUUACACCCACAUAAACAGGUAGUCAUGGGGCCACGUGUUUAGAUCUGUUGACUAGAACAUCCCGUGGUGUCCAUAACAGGAGUUUCUCAUUUUAAGCCUGAAUCGUUUAUUCCCACACCAACUCCUGAGGUUGUUCACAUGCCAUUAUAACCUGAAGGUCUUGGAACCUUCCCAUGAUCUGAUAUUUCCCCCACCCCCGUGCACACACAUGCACACACAGUCAAAGUAUUUUCUGGCACCUUUUCAAGUCAUUUUCAUAUUCUUUUUGAGCAGUUUCAUUUUCUAAACCUGUUACUUCAGAACUCAUUCAUACGGAACCUAUGAAAGAAAUUCUGCUCGGCAUUGACUAAGCAUAUGAGUAAGUUUUUAUUUUAAUAGCACCAUGUGGGAGGUUUCUUUAUAAAUGAAUGGGGAGCAGAGGAGGGAAUGCUUGCAAACUUCCCACAGACAAGAGCUAAGCCUAUAAAAGCAUAUGGUAACACAGAAUCAUUCUUUUCAGUUUCAGGGUAAGCUCUUUUGCAAGGUAAUAUCAUUUGCAAAAAACAAAAAGUCAACAAAUAACCUUUUUGCCCUGCAGCUCUUAAAAAUGACAACUGUUCAAUGAAUGGAAAUUUGUGGGCCACAUACACAGACAGCAAAUUUACCAGGAUCCCAUUCUGCCUAAAAUGUAUGUGUAAUGGAUUGCCCAGCUCAAAAUUGAGGAGGCUGGUCUGAGUUUAAGCACCAUUAUUUUGCAUUGCUCCAAGCUGCUAAAAUUCCAGAUGCAGCUCAGUGGGGAGAAGUGAUUUCACUUUCAGAGAGAUUGGGCCAUGAUAGUGCGUAUGAUGGGCUGUAUGUAGCAUCACCCUCCAAAGGACGAGUCAGAGUCAGGAAAUGUUAAUCACUUGCCCGCUGUCCCCAGCUUGCACACUUAAUCUCUUCACUGUCACUGAGGUGGUCCCAUCUCUGGAAGGCAGCACCCAGGAGAGCUGUAGCUAAGCACAUGGUGCAUGACAACAUAGAACCACAAGGAAAGGCUGGGGUGUAAUGCUGGAGUUUGGUUAAGACCCUACCCCUCAUCUAAAUGAGGGCUCAUUGUGCAUUUUGUAUCCUCAGAAUGUGUCCCCUAGUUUUUAGUUCUCUUCCUCAUAAGCUAGCCCCCUGAGCCUCUCACGGCAAUGGGGAGGGUCUGGAUUCUGCCGGGCCCUCCUUCGGUUAUGCCCAGCAAGCACCUGUAGUCAGUGUCUCCUGGUGGAGGGCCCACUCACCCAGCCAUGCCACUUUGCAAAAUCUUCAGUAUCCAUCUCUCUCUCUUGGACUCCCCCAGACACAGGGACACUAAGGUCCCACAUUCUCAGCUGAUGGCCAUUUCCCAGGCAGUGGUCUAAUGAGCAGCGCUGUCCUAAGCCUUCUCAGGCAAUUCCAGUUCCAAAGAAUCUGCGUAGCCUCUUCCUGGGGACCUCUCCUCAGAAUGGAGUGUCUCAUCCCCACCCCUCUCUCCUCUUUUCUCCUUCAACCCCUGGCUGCCCCUUUCCUGUGGGCUUCUGCAGGUAGCCAGGCCAGGGACUGCACAUGCUGAAGGCCAUACUGGGGAUAGAGGACUGCCACCCUUUCCCACAGUCUCGUGGGAGCACCAAGUUGGGGUGGACACACAGCCCAGAGCAGCCUCCCACGGGGGGAUUUUCCACAGAAGCAUUUACCCCCAUUUGAAUAUCUCUAUGGUAAUGGACUGGAUGUUCAUGUUCCCCACCCCCUGUCCCUGCCAAAUUUGCAUGUUGAAGCUCUAACCCCCUAUGUAAUUACCUUUGGAGAUCAUUAGGUUUAAAUGAGGUCAUGGGGGUGGGGUUCUCAUGAUGGAUUAGUGCCCUUAUAAGAAAAGGAAGGGAUCAGAGCUCUCCCUGUCUCCACCAUGUGUGGAAACAGAGAGAAGGCGGCCAUCUGCAAACCAGAAAGGGAGCCCUCACCAGACACCAGAUCUGCUGCACCUUGAUCUUGGACUUCCAGCCUCCAGAACUGUAAGAAAUAAAUGCCUAUUGUUAAAGCCCCCCAGUCUAUGGUAUUUUAUGAGAGCAAACACAAUGGACUAAGACACCUAGCACGCCCCCACCUCCCCAUGGGAAUGAGUCAUAACACUCCUGAAGGACCGCUGUGACUUCAGGCAUAUAGGGCAGAAAGACGGAGGCGCACGCUGCCAUUUGCCCAUAGGUUGUUACUGCAAAGCAGCCUGGGGACAGCUGGAGGUGGUAUGGAGGCUGGGCCACCUUGUAUUGGAUUGUCCACAGACCUUCUUGCUUUCUAAAUAGAUCUGAUUUCCACAGCAGAGCUCAGCCCCUCUUCCUUUAUUUUUUUUCUUUUUAAUAGAUUUUUAAAAAUUAAUACAAGUACAUAAUUAUUAUAGGUAUUCAAAAGCUACAGAGCUAUAUAGGAGAAAGUCAGACCCCAGAAGUGCCCACAUUCCACAGGUGAAUAGGCAGCACCUCCCAGUCAUUCUGUGUCCCCUAAGAGGCUACAGGUAUGGAAACGGGGGCCCAGAAUGGACCCAUCGGCAUCUCUCUGGAGGAAGCUGAUAUUGCACACUCCCUUCUCUGAGGCUACUGGCCCACGUGGUGCUAAUCCAGCUGCAACUGUCAGAAAAUGAUGCUCCCUGGGAGUUUUCACUUAAGGAUUUAGGUGGGGCUCCAGAGGCCCUCAUAAUGUAAGAGUGCUUUCCCCUCCAAAUGCUGCAAAGUCAGAGGAACAGGGGCUGUUUGAGGAUCUUUAAUGCUAUUUUUAUUUUCUCAGCAUCAUCUCCAAUAUUUCUUGGGAUGCUUGUCAUAAAAUUAGCAGACUGGUAUUUAUUUCCUGGUGUUUUUAAAUCUUCAUGAUAUUUUAUCUCACCUAACUUUCUUUCUAAAUUUACUGAUUGUGGGUGUACUUUUUUUAACAAUACCACUGGAAUCACCUCUUAAUGACAAUUAACCUAUCCUGCAGUAGAAUACACUAUUUGUUUUAAAGAUCAUAACACAGCAAAAGUUGAAAUGACUUUGCAAUAAUUAUCAAAAGCACAGGAGUCUAGAAGCAGUGAUUCACACCCACGAGACAAUGGAUGGUGACAUUCCUGUCUACCUGCUUACCCCCUGAAGUGGGAGACAGUUCACGCUCCGCACCUCGCCCCCAAGAACAGCUUUGAAAUUAUGUAUUUUUUGUUGUUUUUCAACUAAGAAAAUGUUGCAUUAUUUCAAGUUUCAAAUCAGAUUAUACAAAAUCAUGUAUAAUAUUCUCUCACUGGUUAGGUAGGAGCUGCACUCCUUUCUCUAGUGUUGCCAAGAUUUCCAUCACUGGAAUGUGAAGCCCUUCACCUCUCAGAAUGCCAGAGAGAAGGAGUCCCUCCUGUGGUCCUGCAGUGUCACCCCAAAAGCUGCCCAGGUUGCCAGAUGUGUCUGAGAGAAGUGAGGCCACCUGACUCAUUUAGCCCAGUGCAGGGGAACUUCUCUGAAUGUGGCCCGGGUGCUUGAAAGAGCUCUACCCCACAAGUGGAAACCCCUCUUCUCCACUAGGUAUUCUGCUCUCAGAUCCACCCCUGCUGAGAAUACACUUCUGGUGGAGAGGCACUGCUCCUAAGUGCUGUCAGCAAUGAGGACUUCCUGUCUGGAGUAGGGUAGUCCCAGUGAAACUGACUAUCACUACAGGGCCCGGCUCGCCUCCGUUCGUGUACCCCAGCACACCAGGCACAUCGCUUACUGCUGGUUCUUUACAUGCCAGCCAGAUUCAGCUGUGGAUGCUGUAGGCAUUUAGUUUAGAGAUCUUCCUCCACCCUGGGCAGUAAAACAGUGUCUGAAGUUGACUUAAUGGCCUCCCAAGCCUGGUCUCCUACCCGCUGGGCAAAAGCUGCAGGAUGGGUCCUGCCUCGGUCAUGGGAAUGAAUAUGAAACCGAAAGAGCCAGUCCUUCAAGAUGGAUCCCUAGUGGCUAACUGGGCCUAAAUUUAACAUUGAGCCUAGUGGUCAUUUAUUGACUAGACAUCACAGAUGUACUCUGUGUCAACAGAAAACCCAUACCUCUGUUCAACUUUGGGACUUUCAGAACUCACCUGAACCAACCAAUCAGAACUUAGCUUCAUCAAGUAAUUAGAACUAAGCAAGUUUGAAUCCUUCAUUUGCAUAAAUGGACUUGAGUGGGAACCCGGACAGGAACUUUUGCUGUCAAAACUGAAACCUCCUUUUGCUCCCUGGAAGGAACCUUCAUUUUAGACCACAGGUCACAUCUCCCCAUUUUGCAAACUGCUUAGUGGAAUAAAGUCUCUUCCCUUCCAAUUCUUUUACAGAGAACUUUUGUUCACCGACACCUUACCUUGCACGCUCCUUAUCCCUCUCCAAUAACAUGCUCCCAUCUGGGCUGUCUCUUUGUUCCCCAGAUCAUGCUAUAUCCACUAAAGGGGCUAGUUCUUUCUCUUUGUUUAAUAUUCAAAUCUUACCAGAGAUAUUAAUAUUCAUUUCUUCCCAGAGAAAAUGGAUAGAAGGGUUCUGUCAUAUUUAUUUGGACACUAUUCUCAUCACUUUAAAGGCACACCUUUAAUCAAAAUAAAGGCACAAGGGUGUUGAGUGGUGUGGGUGUCAAAUGCCAUGGGUAUCAAAUGUUGUAGGUGUCAUGCCCCUUCCAGGUCAAAGAAGAGGAUUAAUACCAUUUGUUGAAAAAUUCAGAGCAGAAAGGGAUUUAGUCCUGACUCUGCUGCUCACUGGCUGUGUCCAGUUCUUAGCUCUGAGCUUCAGUUUUCUCAACUAUAAAAUAAAGGCCAUAGAGCUACAUAUGUGGUCUUCAACCUCUUACCAGAAGCAUUAUUUUAUUAAGUACAAUUUUGCACAUAGCCUCAGUAAUGACAAUGGCUAAUAUUUAUUAGUUGAACACUUUUUGAAGAGCUUUAUGUGCAUUAACUCAUUUAAACCUCACAAAAAACCUUAUAAGGUAAUAGUAUUAUCCCCAUUUUUCAGAUGAGGAAAUUGAGGCACAGAGUGCCCAAGGUCACUCAGCUAGUAAGAAUACUAAAGCCAGGUUAAAACAUUGCUCUGAAGGCCACAGUUUCAACUCCUAUUUCUGGACAGUGAAAUGCUCUGCUAGGUCUGGGGUUAGAAGGGCUGUGGGUGAGUCUCAUCUUCUCUGGUAUCCCUUCUUCUUCUCUACUCAGAAGCCCCUUGGCACAACCACAAAGCCCUCAGGUUUCACAUACCACCUAGGGCAGUCUAAAAAGUUCCCUUACAGUACUUAAAUUCAACCAAACACUCAUUUCUCAUGGAGGUAUCAGCAUUAAAUGGGACCUGCCCAUGGAGUGCUCCGGGGUCUCUGGCAUGGGACACAGGUGGCACAGGUACAGGUGUAGAUAAAUAUCACUAACUCUUUUCGGCAGCAGCAGUGGUGGUGGUGCUGUUAGCACAGCCUGGGAAGGUCAAAUAAGCAUAUUUAAAUUGUGCCCAGGAAAUGUUAUGAUAAAUUCAGAAUCAGGAGAAUGAGAAGAGAGAGAUGGAUCACAAACCUUGGCAAGAAAAGGGAAACCCUUUAGCUGAGAGGAUAAAGGAAGGUACAUAAUAAAUACUUCAAAGAAACAAUGGGGAAAGGGACAGAAAACCUGUCCAGGUCGAGAGACUGGAAAGCAGGCAGGGAAUGGAGUAGAGUGGGUGAGGGGGAUGAGCUGCCAGAGAACUGAGUAGGAGAGGGCAGCAGGAGUCAGGGCCAGGCAGAGGGGAAGUGUGCCUGCAUUUAAACCAGAAGUGUUGUGAGCUAGGCUUCCAUUGAUUUGCACAAUGCUUGAACAAUGUGAUUAGGCCAGGCACGAUGACUCAUGCUUAUAUCCCAGCACUUUGGGAGGCUGAGACGCAAGGGUCACUUGCAUCUCUUGCCAGGAGUUCAAGACCAGCCUAGGCAAUAAAGCAAGGACCCAUCUCUACAAAAAAGCAUUUUUUAAAAAAAGUUAGUCAGACAUGGUGCAAGCACCAGUGGUCCUUUCUACUUAGAAGGCUAAGACAAGAGGAUCACUUGAGCCCAGUAGUUCCAGGCUAUGGUGAGCUAUGAUUGUACCACUGCAUUCCAGCCGGGGCAACACAGCAAGAGCCUACCUCUAAAAAAUAAUAAAAAAUAAAAUAAAAUAAGAACAAUGUGAUUAAAGGGCUCCAUUUAUUUUUUAAUUUAAUAAGCUGAUAGAACUCAGGUAAUGGUGUGUGCUGGUAAAUGUUUAAUAACCAGCUGUCCAAAUAACUAAGCAUGAUUUGCUGAUUUCCAUGGUGAAAUACUCCCACACAAGCAGGAACUGGGGAGAGAAGCACAGCUGCCCCGUCGCCCAGUACAGUAUUUCCACCACACAGGUACCAUAACGUAAAGAGCCUCAAGGGCACAGGAAAUGGUAAAAUGUCAUAAAAAAGGUAGUAUAAGUUUUGUGUAUCCAUUACUUUUGUUUGCGAUUUAAUUUGCUUACCUGAGGUUCUAUAAUUUUUAAUAGUUGCUCUGGUUAACAACCAGGCCAAAAAGUUCCUGAAGAUCUUGUAGCCAGCGCUGGUAAGCUAGUACUGGCAGCUCUAGCACCUCUGCACAUGGAUGUUGCUGUGGAGGAAAGAAUCGUGGCCAAGAGAGACUGCGGCCAGGGAGAGUUGGUCCCAGGAGAGGCCCACCCAGGAAAACCUGCUCCCCACCCCCAGAGCCCACCUCCCCAGGAGAAUCUGCCCCCUCCUCAGAACCCCUUCCCCAGAGCCAAACCCCCAGAGACACCCCUCACCCAAGGAGAUCCUGCCCACCCCCAAGAGCCCGCCACCCCCAGCCUGUCCCCGCCCUGGGGAGAGCUCGCCCCCAAGAGUCUGCCACCUAGGAGAGUCAGCCUGGGGCUCCACCACACCCAGCGCUGCAAGCACUUGGCAACCACAUGUCUCAGAGCUCAGGGGCUCCCAACAGGAAACAGGUCCUGAGACUGGGAAAUCAUGUGGGCUGCUAAUCCCGGCAGACAGCUCCUGUUCCCACAUACCUUGAGAAAAGGAAGUACACUAGCCAGGGGGAGAUCCCUCGGGAAUUUCAGGGAUGUGCCUACAACAGUCCCCAGAAGAAUCUAACUGUGGGAAUGUGCUGGAGGGACGCACUGGAGCACAAUGGAAGGCGUAUUGGGGGAGCAGCAGAACCUCUGGAAAGGCCCGGAAAGAAGCGGUAACUCUGACCCCACCGCCUCCCGAACUGCCAACUGGAUUCCCAGCCCUGAGCAAGGGGCUUACUUGGAAUUUCUCAAGGCUGAAAAUGUUGGGUGGUGGCAGGGAGGCAUGAGAAGAGGGAGGUGAAGAAGAAAGGUGGCCAGCAUGGGACCCUCACUCCCUACUCUGGUGUGUCUGAACUAUCCCAAACAGGACUACCCACCUGUAAGAACUUGUGUACUGAGCACAUGGCCCAGGAGACUCCAAGCUCUUUCCCUAUUUAACAGACCUCUUCACUCUUGCCUCUUGGCAAGCUUGGUUUAUAAACUGUCCAGGUCCAAGGCAAUAGCAAUCAAAAGAGGACCUACAACGAGGCUGACAGAGGUGUCGGGGUCUGGGAAAGAGAGCCUGAGUGGAGCCUGUGGACUCUAGCCUGGCCUCGCCCAAGAUGGGAUGUGACAGUCAUGAACACAGGAGAGCCUGGAAUAGGCCCCCUCUAAGAAUCUGCAGCCUUCACACCCUCACAAUGCCACAGCCAGCAAAGGUGACUGCAGAGGCCAGGACAAGCAAAUGCAUGGCGCUGAGAAACUGGAGGGUCACCAGAUAAAACACACAGGGCCCCCACUAAGCCCCCUCACUACGCCCCAACAACCAGACUAAAAAUCAAAACAGAGUUAUCUAUGCUACAAUUCCACCAAACUGAAACUAAGUUGUUAUCUGAUCUUCCACAAAAUUAGGAGCAUGAGGUAACAGCUGCUAUGGUUUGGCUGUGUGUCCCCACCCAAAUCUCAUGUUGAAUUGCAAUCCCCAACACUGAGGGAGGGACCUGGUGGGAGGUGACUGGAUCAUGGGGGCAGAAUUCUCCCUUGCUGUUCUCAUGAUAGUGAGUGAGUCCUCACGAGAUCUGGUUGUUUAAAAGUGUGUAGUGCUUCUUCUUUCACUGUCUCCUGCCACCACGUGAAGAUGUGCUUGCUUUCCCUUUGCCCUUCUGCCAUGAGUGUAAGCUUCCUGAGGCCUACCAGCCAUGCUUCCUGUACAGCCUCCAGAACUCUGAGUCAAUUAAACCUCUUUUCUGCAUAAAUUA